CCCGCCCCUCGUGUCCUCGCUGUAUCCGGCAGCGUUAAUAAAGUUGCAGCGGUCUGACAUUAGCGGCGGACAACAUGGCGGCCUCCACUCUCGGCUUUCUGUUGCGGACAGUCCGGCAGGUGGUUCCUUCAUCAGCUUCAGGCCAAGUUCGAAGUUACUAUGUAGAUUGGAAAAUGUUGCGUGAUGUGAAGAGAAGAAAAAUGGCCUAUGAGUAUGCAGAUGAGAGGCUUCGGAUCAAUUCUCUCAGGAAGAAUACUAUUCUGCCGAAAGACCUUCAGGGCUUCCCUGGUGGCACAGUGGUUAAGAAUGUACCUGUCAAUGCAGAGGACACAGGUUCGAGCCGUGGUCCAGGAAGAUCCCACACACUGCAAGAGCAACUAAGCCCACGCACCACAAGUACUGAGCCUCUGUUCUAGAGCCUGUAAGCCACAACUACUGAGCCCACAUGCCACAACUACUGAAGUCUGUGUGCCUAGAGCCUGUGCUCUGCAACAAGAGAAGCCAUCACAAUGAGAAGCCCGCACACCGCAACGAAGAGUAGCCCCUGCUCAAUGGUGACUACAGAAAGCCCAUGCAUAGCAACGAAGACCCAACACCGCCUAAAAGGAUCCGGGAAGAUGGUGGAAGAGUAAGAGACAGAGAUCACCUUCCUCCCCACAGAUACAUCAGAAAUACAUCUACACGUGCAACAACUACAGAACACCCACUGAACACUGGCAGAAGACCUCAGACCUCCCAAAAGGCAAGAAACUCCCC
This is a non-coding RNA of Kogia breviceps (pygmy sperm whale), 756 nucleotides long. NCBI's taxonomy places the organism in Eukaryota, Metazoa, Chordata, Mammalia, Artiodactyla, Physeteridae. The record is from RefSeq and is a predicted model, not a curated record.